This 207-nucleotide ribosomal RNA is filed under the name uncultured bacterium. RNAcentral describes it as "partial 16S ribosomal RNA". It matches the Rfam family "Bacterial small subunit ribosomal RNA", at positions 568 to 774 of the family's 1533-position model. The record is from RNAcentral.
CUCGUAGGCGGUUUGUCGCGUCGGGAGUGAAAACACUGGGCUUAACUCAGUGCUUGCUUCCGAUACGGGCAGACUAGAGGUAUUCAGGGGAGAACGGAAUUCCUGGUGUAGCGGUGAAAUGCGCAGAUAUCAGAAGGAACACCGGUGGCGAAGGCGGUUCUCUGGGAAUGUCCUGACGCUGAGGAGCGAAAGUGUGGGGAGCGAACA